RNAcentral lists this ribosomal RNA (497 nucleotides) under uncultured bacterium. RNAcentral's name for it is "partial 16S ribosomal RNA". It matches the Rfam family "Bacterial small subunit ribosomal RNA", at positions 28 to 507 of the family's 1533-position model. The record is from RNAcentral.
GAUGAACGCUGGCGGCGUGCCUAAUACAUGCAAGUCGAGCGAACGGACGAGAAGCUUGCUUCUCUGAUGUUAGCGGCGGACGGGUGAGUAACACGUGGAUAACCUACCUAUAAGACUGGGAUAACUUCGGGAAACCGGAGCUAAUACCGGAUGAUAUUUUGAACCGCAUGGUUCAAAAGUGAAAGACGGUCUUGCUGUCACUUAUAGAUGGAUCCGCGCUGCAUUAGCUAGUUGGUAAGGUAACGGCUUACCAAGGCAACGAUGCAUAGCCGACCUGAGAGGGUGAUCGGCCACACUGGAACUGAGACACGGUCCAGACUCCUACGGGAGGCAGCAGUAGGGAAUCUUCCGCAAUGGGCGAAAGCCUGACGGAGCAACGCGGCGUGAGUGAUGAAGGUCUUCGGAUCGUAAAACUCUGUUAUUAGGGAAGAACAUAUGUGUAAGUAACUGUGCACAUCUUGACGGUACCUAAUCAGAAAGCCACGGAUAACUACGUG